AUUAGACCAAGGCCAAAAGACCGUCAACAGAUCCAGGACCGCAUCAAAGAGUUGAAAGGAAUCAUCCCUGAUGGUGGAAAGUGUAGCAUUGAUGCAUUGUUGGAUCGUACCAUCAAGUACAUGCUUUUCUUGCAAGGUGUGACAAAAUAUGCAGACAAGCUUAAACAAGCUGAUGAGCCAAAGCUCAUUGGUGAGGAGAAUAAAAUGGUUUUGAAAGACAACAGCACAAGUGGUGGUGGUGCCACAUGGGCACUGGAAGUGGGAGAUCAAUCAAUGGUUUGCCCUAUUAUAGUCGAAGAUCUCAGUACACCUGGCCUGAUGCUUAUUGAGAUGCUUUGUGAGGAUCGAGGAUUCUUUCUUGAGAUAGCUGAUGUAAUUAGGGGAUUUGGAUUGAAUAUAUUGAAGGGACUGAUGGAAACUCGAGAGGAUAAGAUAUGGG
RNAcentral lists this unclassified non-coding RNA (439 nucleotides) under Hevea brasiliensis (rubber tree). The record is from RNAcentral. Lineage: Eukaryota; Viridiplantae; Streptophyta; Magnoliopsida; Malpighiales; Euphorbiaceae.